AAUUUAAUACAAGCAUAUGGUGAAAUGCAGCAGUUCAGCAUUUCUUAAAAGGGAAGUCCGGUGAAAGUCCGGUACGGUCGCGCCACUGUAAUGGGGAGUUUUUCAUAAAACCACUGUUUCAUUUGAAAUGGGAAGGAAUGAAAAACGCUGAACCAGAGUCAGGAGACCUGCCAUAUGUACGCACUUUUU
Molecule: non-coding RNA, 189 nt
Filed under: Domibacillus aminovorans
Lineage: Bacteria; Bacillati; Bacillota; Bacilli; Caryophanales; Bacillaceae
Source: RNAcentral